RNAcentral lists this long non-coding RNA (831 nucleotides) under Anas platyrhynchos platyrhynchos (common mallard). Its description in RNAcentral is "lncRNA (ENSAPLG00000030208.1)". The record is from RNAcentral. Lineage: Eukaryota; Metazoa; Chordata; Aves; Anseriformes; Anatidae.
GUGUUUUUAACCUUGAAUAAUUGUUGUCUCUAAAGCUCCAAACAAGUUUUAUCCUGUCCACAGGUCAGUUUUGUUACAAAGGCCAAUUAGUGGUGCUACCUUAGCCUGCAGCAAAAAGCCAAGUAAUGGUGGGGCAUGCCCCAUCCAGAGGUGAUGAAUAGCCUGUAGAGCUAUAAUUUGAGAAGGGGGGAGGGUGGCUUUGAAGCAUUUACCUUACAUGGAACUCCAUUGUCACUGUAGGCUGUUUGAUCUUUAAAUAAUUUACUUAAUGAUCUCACCAUGGGAGCAAUUGGCAGAGCAAGAUUAGGUUGUAAGGGCCUAAUGGACAUGGGAAAACUUAAAAUUACUAGAAGAGAGAGAAGCAUUUCCCUGGAGCUUUGCUGCUGCUGCUGCAAUACCAUUAGCAUUGGAGCCUGUCCCAGCACCUGCAGGAAGAAGAAAUCCACAGAAAAUGGAUUCAGCAAGCACCAAGUACCUUCACUGACAUACACCACUCUCCAGAAGUUCACCUCUUCUGUGGAGAGAUUCUUAUCCCAUUUUUGGGACAAUAUUUAGGGGUCAACCAAACUCCAGACAGCCUCCACCUGCCAGAAAGGACACAGUGGAAGUAGCUUUGGUGAUGCAAAUCACGUUAUUGCAGCAAUGAACAGAAGCCACAGCCUUAUCUUUCCUCAUCUCAGAUUUUGUUUGCAAGAUAAUACUGUUUUCUGUCUUGUAGACCAUUGGAGUAGUUGACACACUGUAUCAGUGUCACCAUAUUCAACUGUAGAGAAAAGCUGUGAUGUGCGGAAAAAAAAAAUAAUAAAAAAAAAAAGCCAUGAAAAGCCCUCA